UACGUAGGGUGCGAGCGUUGUCCGGAAUUAUUGGGCGUAAAGAGCUUGUAGGCGGUCUGUCGCGUCUGCUGUGAAAAUCCGGGGCUCAACCCCGGACUUGCAGUGGGUACGGGCAGACUAGAGUGUGGUAGGGGAGACUGGAAUUCCUGGUGUAGCGGUGAAAUGCGCAGAUAUCAGGAGGAACACCGAUGGCGAAGGCAGGUCUCUGGGCCACUACUGGCGCUGAGAAGCGAAAGCAUGGGGAGCGAACAGG
RNAcentral lists this ribosomal RNA (253 nucleotides) under uncultured bacterium. Its description in RNAcentral is "partial 16S ribosomal RNA". It matches the Rfam family "Bacterial small subunit ribosomal RNA", at positions 524 to 776 of the family's 1533-position model. The record is from RNAcentral.